GCGCUCGUGGUGGAAUUGGCAGACACGCAGGAUUUAGGUUCCUGUGCCUUCGGGUGUGCGGGUUCAAGUCCCGCCGAGCGCA
RNAcentral lists this transfer RNA (82 nucleotides) under Ornithinicoccus hortensis. It matches the Rfam family "tRNA". From Rfam's summary of the family: Transfer RNA (tRNA) molecules are approximately 80 nucleotides in length. Their secondary structure includes four short double-helical elements and three loops (D, anti-codon, and T loops). Further hydrogen bonds mediate the characteristic L-shaped molecular structure. tRNAs have two regions of fundamental functional importance: the anti-codon, which is responsible for specific mRNA codon recognition, and the 3' end, to which the tRNAs corresponding amino acid is attached (by aminoacyl-tRNA synthetases). tRNAs cope with the degeneracy of the genetic code in two manners: having more than one tRNA (with a specific anti-codon) for a particular amino acid; and 'wobble' base-pairing, i.e. permitting non-standard base-pairing at the 3rd anti-codon position. RNAcentral also lists the same sequence under 7 other names. The record is from Rfam by way of RNAcentral. Lineage: Bacteria; Bacillati; Actinomycetota; Actinomycetes; Micrococcales; Intrasporangiaceae.